GUAGUCCACGCCGUAAACGAUGCAUACUAGUUUUUUGGGGUAUCGACCCCCUGAGAAACGAAGCUAACGCGAUAAGUAUGCCGCCUGGGAAGUACGGCCGCAAGGCUAAAACUCAAAGGAAUUGACGGGGACCCGCACAAGCGGAGGAUGAUGUGGUUUAAUUUGACGAUACGCGAAGAACCUUACCCAGGCUUGACAUCCUUGGAACCCUGCGGAAACGCGGGGGUGCCCUCGGGAGCCAAGUGACAGGUGCUGCAUGGCCGUCGUCAGCUCGUGUCGUGAGAUGUUGGGUUAAGUCCCGCAACGAGCGCAACCCUUAUCGUAUGUUGUAUUUUUCAUGCGAGACUGCCCGGGCCAACCGGGA
This 364-nucleotide ribosomal RNA is filed under the name uncultured bacterium. Its description in RNAcentral is "bacterial SSU rRNA". It matches the Rfam family "Bacterial small subunit ribosomal RNA", at positions 790 to 1167 of the family's 1533-position model. The record is from RNAcentral.